This 465-nucleotide ribosomal RNA is filed under the name Vreelandella stevensii. Its description in RNAcentral is "partial 16S ribosomal RNA". It matches the Rfam family "Bacterial small subunit ribosomal RNA", at positions 338 to 795 of the family's 1533-position model. Lineage: Bacteria; Pseudomonadati; Pseudomonadota; Gammaproteobacteria; Oceanospirillales; Halomonadaceae. The record is from RNAcentral.
CCUACGGGUGGCAGCAGUGGGGAAUAUUGGACAAUGGGGGGAACCCUGAUCCAGCCAUGCCGCGUGUGUGAAGAAGGCCCUCGGGUUGUAAAGCACUUUCAGUGAGGAAGAACGCCUGGUGGUUAAUACCCAUCAGGAAAGACAUCACUCACAGAAGAAGCACCGGCUAACUCCGUGCCAGCAGCCGCGGUAAUACGGAGGGUGCGAGCGUUAAUCGGAAUUACUGGGCGUAAAGCGCGCGUAGGUGGCUUGAUAAGCCGGUUGUGAAAGCCCCGGGCUCAACCUGGGAACGGCAUCCGGAACUGUCAAGCUAGAGUGCAGGAGAGGAAGGUAGAAUUCCCGGUGUAGCGGUGAAAUGCGUAGAGAUCGGGAGGAACACCAGUGGCGAAGGCGGCCUUCUGGACUGACACUGACACUGAGGUGCGAAAGCGUGGGUAGCAAACAGGAUUAGAUACCCUAGUAGUC